This 497-nucleotide ribosomal RNA is filed under the name uncultured bacterium. RNAcentral's name for it is "partial 16S ribosomal RNA". It matches the Rfam family "Bacterial small subunit ribosomal RNA", at positions 28 to 507 of the family's 1533-position model. The record is from RNAcentral.
GAUGAACGCUGGCGGCGUGCCUAAUACAUGCAAGUCGAGCGAACAGACGAGGAGCUUGCUCCUCUGACGUUAGCGGCGGACGGGUGAGUAACACGUGGAUAACCUACCUAUAAGACUGGGAUAGCUUCGGGAAACCGGAGCUAAUACCGGAUAAUAUAUUGAACCGCAUGGUUCAAUAGUGAAAGACGAUUUUGCUGUCACUUAUAGAUGGAUCCGCGCCGCAUUAGCUAGUUGGUAAGGUAACGGCUUACCAAGGCGACGAUGCGUAGCCGACCUGAGAGGGUGAUCGGCCACACUGGAACUGAGACACGGUCCAGACUCCUACGGGAGGCAGCAGUAGGGAAUCUUCCGCAAUGGGCGAAAGCCUGACGGAGCAACGCCGCGUGAGUGAUGAAGGUCUUCGGAUCGUAAAACUCUGUUAUUAGGGAAGAACAAAUGUGUAAGUAACUAUGCACGUCUUGACGGUACCUAAUCAGAAAGCCACGGCUAACUACGUG